This is a non-coding RNA of Taeniopygia guttata (zebra finch), 2231 nucleotides long. The record is from RefSeq and is a predicted model, not a curated record. Lineage: Eukaryota; Metazoa; Chordata; Aves; Passeriformes; Estrildidae.
CGCGUCACGGAGCGCGGGAAGGACGAAAAUGGCGGCGGCGGCAACCGGGGGAUGAGGAGGGGCCGCCGAGCUGUGAUUCCUGCAGAACUCCCCCUGGAGCUGUCCAGGACACUCAUUCCCUGAGGGAGCAGCUUCCAGCCACUUUUGGGCUCUCUGCAGUGGGGAUCCCACCAUGGAGGAGGUGGAUUCCCGUUUCCAGCACCUGCUGCAGCCCAUCCGUGACCUCACCAAGAACUGGGAGGUGGAUGUGGCUGCCCAGCUCGGGGAGUACCUGGAGGAGCUGGACCAGAUCUGCAUCUCCUUCGACAACGGCAAAACCACCAUGAACUUCAUGGAGGCAGCGCUGCUGAUCCAGGGCUCUGCCUGCAUCUACAGCAGGAAGGUGGAAUACCUGUACAUGCUGGUGUGCCAGACGCUGGACUGCAUCUCCAACAAACAGAGGGAGAAGCUCCCCACUUCCCUGGGCACCGACGGCCGCGAUGCCGACGCCACCUUCACGGACGAGCAGGAGGAGUUCCUGUCCCUGGAUGACAUCCCAGAAACCAGCCAGGCCAGCGUGGACAUCAGGAGGGGCCAGCAGCCUGCUGCUGUGAACAUCGUUCCCCUGACCCCCAUGGCCCUGGUGCCCCCGGAAGAAGGGGAGAAGAAGGACAACCCCCUCCUGAGGUGCCAUUCCUGGGAUUGUCCCCUGUCCCCUCCCCUGGGUGGCAUUGUACCAUGUCCCCUUCCCUGGUGGCAUUGUCCCCUGCCCCCUCCCCAGUGGGAUUGUCUCUUGUCCCCUCCUCUGCUCCAGGUCCUGUGUGGCAUUGUCUCAUGUCCCCUCCCCUGGUGGGAUUGUCCCAUGUCCUGUCCCCUGCUCCAGUCCCUGGGUGGCAUUAUCCCAUGUCCCCUUUCCCUGGUGGGAUUAUCCCGUGUCCCCUCCCCUGCUCCACUCCCUGGGUUGGCAUUGUCACCUUCCCUGGUGGCAUUGUCCCAUGUCCCUUCCCCUGGUGGGAUUGUCCUGUGUCCCCUCCCCUGCUCCAGUCCCUGGGUGGGAUUGUCCCGUGUCCCCUCCCCUGGUGGGAUUGUCCCAUGUCCCCUCCCCUGGUGGGACUGUCCCAUGUCCUGUCCCCUGCUCCAGUCCCUGUGUGGCACUGUCCCAUGUCCCCUCCCUGCUGGCAUUGUCCCAUGUCCACUCCCCUGGUGGGAUUAUCCCCUGUCCCCUCCCCUGGUGGCAUUGUCCUGUGUCCCCUCCCCUGCUGGAACUGUCCCAUGUCCCCUCCCCUGGUGGGAUUGUCCCAUGUCCUGUCCCCUGCUCCAGUCCCUGAGUGGCAUUGUCCCUUGUCCCCUCCCUGCUGGGAUUGUCCCUUGUCCCCUCCCCAUGGGAUUGUCCCGUGUCCCCUCCCUGCUGGGAUUGUCCCGUGUCCCCUUCCCUGGUGGGAUUGUCCCGUGUCCCCUCCCCAGUGGGAUUGUCCCCGUGUCCCCUCCCUGCUGGGAUUGUCCCGUGUCCCCUCCCCUGGUGGGAUUGUCCCAUGUCCUGUCCCCUGCUCCAGUCCCUGGGUGGCAUUAUCCCAUGUCCCCUUUCCCUGGUGGGAUUAUCCCGUGUUCCCUCCCCUGGUGGCAUUGUCCCAUGUCCUGUCCCCUGCUCCAGUCCCUGGGUGGCAUUAUCCCAUGUCCCCUUUCCCUGGUGGUAUUGUCCCUUGUCCCCUCCCUGCGGGGCCAUCCAGGCGGGCGCCGUGCUGUUGUGGGAGCCGGGGCUGGCACAGGGGCUGGCACGGGGGACACUGGGGACCCUGGGGACCCUGGGGACACUGGGGACCCUGGGGACCCUGGGGACAGCGCCCUGCCGGUGCUGCCGCAGCCGGCGGGGCGAGGUGCUGGCGAGCCGCCGGGAUUUCCGCAUGAACACCUCCACCCCGCACGCCUCCGGCGCCUUCCUGCUGGAGCUCUCCGGGCUCUCCCCCACCCACCCGCAGCAGGAGCAGCGCCUGGCCACGGCCACAGCGGCUCCGGGAUGCGGCCCCGCGGAGCGGCCGAGCGCUGGCACGGCGCUGGUGCGGGCACUGAGCUUCUGCGAGGAGGCAGGUGCUGCAGAACCUGACGAUGAUGACGUUCCCGGGACCCUGGGGAAUGACAUGGAGGUGACCCCGGCCCCUAACGAACACAUCGAGGCUCAGAGGAGCACGCCCCGGACCCGGGGGUACAUCCUUCGGGAGAGACCCCCGUGCCAGGAGCCCGGAUACCUCAGCAAG